This 900-nucleotide long non-coding RNA is filed under the name Salmo salar (Atlantic salmon). RNAcentral's name for it is "lncRNA (ENSSSAG00000099754.1)". The record is from RNAcentral. Lineage: Eukaryota; Metazoa; Chordata; Actinopteri; Salmoniformes; Salmonidae.
UAAUAAUUCAUGUAGCAUCUCCCCUCUGUUGUGUCUGUCACACAGCGACAGUGUUUCUGUCUGAUAUCACAGGAUAUAUCCAAGAAAGAGUUUACAGAUCAUCUCAGCACCUACCCGUCAUUCGAUAAGGGUAAAUAAGUAACUUGACCACCAUAGGCAAUAAUGUAGCUUUGGUUAAGCUGGUUACAGGUGAGAGUCAGCCAGAGAGAGGAACGUAGCUACUGACAUUUGUAAGUGUUGGGAUUGUAAGUGUUGUUUGUUUUGUUGGCAACUCUCAGAAGUGUAGCGAAGACAGCCAGCCACCAAUCACUGUGAUAAAAAACUGUAAUAUUGACCCCACAACUGUGAGCCCACACAAAUCCACCCCAAACCUGUCUCCUUUCCUCUCACCCCUCCUCAUGUCUGUACAACCCUACCCUGUUUCCCAUCAGAAAUGUAUUGUUGGAUGUUCGUUUAAAGGAAAGCAAUAACUUUGGUUGAAGACAUUAUUAACGCAAUAGCAUAUUACUCAAAACUUAGGAAUGCAACUGCGCACAUGCACAGCAAAUGUUUUAAUAUAAAUGAAUAUAUAUAUAAUAUAUGAAAAUCUAUAUUUACUUAGAAUGCUAUGCACCCUUGUCAACAGGAUUAUAGUAAUGUUAUGGAUGUACUUUUGGCAUCAUAGCUACCAAGAGACUGUUGAGUUAUGGGUAAUGCCUGAAACCUGGGAAAAAUAGGGGUCUUGUGGGUAUUUUAACUUGUUUUGUUUGCUUUUUUUUAUUGUUAUGAAGAGGUCAAAUACGGAAAACAUAUAUAAAUGUACAAUCCUUUUAAUCAAAUGAAAUCCGAUGACAUCUAUAGAUAAUUUACCCUGUACACCAGCUCAAAUCAUUUACAAAAUUAAUAAAGAAAUGAAAUGUC